CAGCACACAGGGUUCAUUUCCAGACUGAAAGACAUCCCAGAGACAACUCCAGAGGCCAAGGCGGGUCGGCUUCCUGCGUGGGCCCAGCGCCGGGCACUGAAAGGUGAAGGCGCUUCUUCCGCUCGGAGGAAAGCCUCUGGCGGUUCUCGCUUCGCGGGCUCGGGAUGGACACGCGCGUAGGGCUGGGGAGGUGACGCGCGGACAACGCCGGGGCGAGCAAACUACAACUCCCAGGCAGCUGUGCGCCACGCGGGCGGCCUACUGUCGGGUGUGGCCGCGAGGGGCGGCCUAUAUAAGCUCUUGCUCGCGGCUUCAGCGCCCUUUCUCCCCGCCGCAUUCCCGGUGUCGACUUACUAGCUGCAAGCCUCUGCCUGCCUUCCUGCGCGCCGUUCCCCGCUAGUCGCUGCUGCUGGCGCGCACUCGCCGGGUUUUUCCUCCCACGGCCUCGAGAUGGUGGUGAAUGUGGCACGGAGGAGCCGGGCCUUCCAACCCGGUGGGCCCGAGCUCCGAAAGGCCCCCUCGGCAGUGAGAGGGGCGGGAGCCCGCGGGGGCCGCGCCCUUCUCUCGCUUCGGACUGCGCAACGCUGCGCUCUGGGCUGACAGGCGGAUAAAACGGUCCCAUCAAGACUGAGAAAAAGCACACCAGCUAUUGGCACAGCGUGGGCAGUGGGGCCUACAGGAUGACUGACUUAGUCUACAGAGAUCCCGGCGUACUUAAGCAGAUGAAGACUCUUAAGAUGACAGAAGGUGAUUUUUCUGGUGAUCGAGGACUUCCGGGGUAAUGACAGUGAUGAAAUGCAGGGGACCUGGUAGGUUUCUUUUGGAGACUAACUGGGGGCUGCCUGGUGGGACAGAACAGCAUGUUUCCAAGGGCUGUGGCUGGUCAUAGCCAUGGGAUCUCCAACUGCAUGCAAGAGCAACCUGGAAAGACUUUGACAGCGCAGCGCUAAGCUUUUUGUUCUGCAGGUUGCCCCCAAGUUUCCUGGCAGUGUGUGAUACUGAGGAGGUGAGCUUGUUUCUGGAGCUGUGCUUUAAGGUAAAGUUGAUCAGCUUAAUCCUCCUGAUCCCUUUCCCAUCGGAUCUGAACACUGGUCUUGGUGGUCGUAAAAGGAGGAAAAGUAAUAGUGAAGCUGGCCUAAAUGUUGUAAUCUGGUAUAUGGCAUGUGGGCUAGUUUCAGACAGGUUUCAGAGAUGGUUGGAUCUCUGAAAUUGUAAAAUGAAGUAUAAUCUUAGGCUAAGGGAAGGAUGCGUGUGAAGCUCUGGAGGUUGGUAUAGUAAUAGCUGACCUAUUACUGCAUUUGGGAGGGAUCUGUCAUAGCUUCCUUGCCUCUUAAUUAAGGGUGGUGUUUUUUUCUUUUAGAUUCAUGUUACAUGUAAAGCUGUCCUCAUUUGUGACUAUGGACCUAUGGAGUUGGGACAAUCUCUAUGGGAAGCAGAAGGCAAGGACCCCGGUCAUUUUAGGUAGAAACAACAGCAUGCUAAUGCAAAAAAUUAUGCAGUGUGCUACUGAACUUCAGAGGUGAUCAAUAAAAGAAGAAUAAAAAGACUAAUAAAAGUAUAUUUGUGUUUGUAUUUUUUUGUAGAGACCGAACUGGUCUCUU
This 1601-nucleotide long non-coding RNA is filed under the name Homo sapiens (human). Its description in RNAcentral is "HSALNT0003893". The stretch from base 1055 to 1184 matches the Rfam family "Small nucleolar RNA SNORA61". The record is from RNAcentral. Lineage: Eukaryota; Metazoa; Chordata; Mammalia; Primates; Hominidae.